RNAcentral lists this ribosomal RNA (252 nucleotides) under uncultured bacterium. RNAcentral describes it as "partial 16S ribosomal RNA". It matches the Rfam family "Bacterial small subunit ribosomal RNA", at positions 524 to 776 of the family's 1533-position model. The record is from RNAcentral.
UACGUAGGGUGCGAGCGUUGUCCGGAAUUACUGGGCGUAAAGAGUUCGUAGGCGGUUUGUCGCGUCGUUCGUGAAAACUUGGGGCUUAACUCCAAGCGUGCGGGCGAUACGGGCAGACUUGAGUACUACAGGGGAGACUGGAAUUCUGGUGUAGCGGUGAAAUGCGCAGAUAUCAGGAGGAACACCGGUGGCGAAGGCGGGUCUCUGGGUAGUAACUGACGCUGAGGAACGAAAGCGUGGGUAGCGAACAGG